GAGUCGAACGCUCCCCACGGAGAGUGGCAGACGGGUGAGUAACACGUGGGAAUCUACCUAGUGGUACGGAAUAGCUCAGGGAAACUUGAGGUAAUACCGUAUAAGCCCUUACGGGGAAAGAUUUAUCGCCAUUAGAUGAGCCCGCGUCUGAUUAACUAGUUGGUGAGGUAAUGGCUCACCAAGGCGACGAUCAGUAGCUGGUUUGAGAGAAUGACCAGCCACACUGGGACUGAGACACGGCCCAGACUCCUACGGGAGGCAGCAGUGGGGAAUCUUGGACAAUGGGCGCGAGCCUGAUCCAGCCAUGCCGCGUGAGUGACGAAGGCCUUAGGGUUGUAAAGCUCUUUUGGCGGGGACGAUAAUGACGGUACCCGCAGAAUAAGCCCCGGCUAACUUCGUGCCAGCAGCCGCGGUAAUACGAAGGGGGCUAGCGUUGUUCGGAAUUACUGGGCGUAAAGCGCACGUAGGCGGAUUUGUAAGUCAGGGGUGAAAUCCCGGGGCUCAACCUCGGAACUGCCUUUGAUACUGCGAAUCUCGAGUCCGAUAGAGGUGAGUGGAAUUCCUAGUGUAGAGGUGAAAUUCGUAGAUAUUAUGAAGAACACCAGUGGCGAAGGCGGCUCACUGGAUCGGUACUGACGCUGAUGUGCGAAAGCGUGGGGAGCAAACAGGAUUAUAUACCCUGUGUAGUCCACGCCGUAGACGAUGGAUGCUAGCCGUCGGCAAGCAUGCUAGUCUGUGGCGCAGCUAACGCAUUAAGYAUCCCGCCUGGGGGAGUACGGCCGCACGGUUAGAACUCACAGGAAUUGACGGGGGCCCGCAUAAGCGGUGGAGCAUGUGUGUUUAAAUUCGUAGCAACGCGCAGAACCUUAUCAGCUCUUGACAUCCACUGGACUGUUCUCCAGAGAUGGGGU
This 911-nucleotide ribosomal RNA is filed under the name uncultured Hyphomicrobium sp. RNAcentral describes it as "bacterial SSU rRNA". It matches the Rfam family "Bacterial small subunit ribosomal RNA", at positions 59 to 1012 of the family's 1533-position model. Lineage: Bacteria; Pseudomonadati; Pseudomonadota; Alphaproteobacteria; Hyphomicrobiales; Hyphomicrobiaceae. The record is from RNAcentral.